Molecule: transfer RNA, 74 nt
Filed under: Microcaldota archaeon
Lineage: Archaea; Nanobdellati; Microcaldota
Also listed under: 1 other name
Description: tRNA-Phe
Rfam family: tRNA
About the family: Transfer RNA (tRNA) molecules are approximately 80 nucleotides in length. Their secondary structure includes four short double-helical elements and three loops (D, anti-codon, and T loops).
Source: RNAcentral
GCCGCAGUAGCUCAGCCCGGGAGAGCGUCCCGCUGAAGACGGGGAGGUCGCAUGUUCAAAUCCUGCCUGCGGCA